RNAcentral lists this ribosomal RNA (916 nucleotides) under uncultured bacterium. RNAcentral describes it as "bacterial SSU rRNA". It matches the Rfam family "Bacterial small subunit ribosomal RNA", at positions 28 to 916 of the family's 1533-position model. The record is from RNAcentral.
AAUGAACGCUGGCGGCGUGCUUAACACAUGCAAGUCGAACGAGAAAGGGAUUGCUUGCAAUCCUGAGUAGAGUGGCGCACGGGUGAGUAACACGUAGAUAAUCUACCUUCGAUUUUGGGAUGACCAUCCGAAAGGAUGGCUAAUACCGGAUAAGGUUUUAAUACGCGAGUAUAAAGAUGAAAGUAUGCCUCUUCAUGAAAGCAUAUGAUUGGAGAUGAGUCUGCGGACCAUUAGUUUGUUGGUAGGGUAAUGGCCUACCAAGACUACGAUGGUUAGCUGGUCUGAGAGGAUGAUCAGUCACACUGGAACUGGAACACGGUCCAGACUCCUACGGGAGGCAGCAGUGAGGAAUUUUGCGCAAUGGGGGAAACCCUGACGCAGCAACGCCGCGUGAGUGAAGAAGGCCUUUGGGUCGUAAAGCUCUGUCAACUGGGAAGAAGUUACAACAAUCUAAUAGGUGGUUGUAUUGACGGUACCAGUGGAGGAAGCGCCGGCUAACUCCGUGCCAGCAGCCGCGGUAACACGGGGGGGCGCAAGCGUUAUUCGGAAUUAUUGGGCGUAAAGGGCGUGUAGGCGGUCUUAUCGGUCAGAUGUGAAAGCCCAGGGCUCAACCCUGGACGUGCAUUUGAAACAGUAAGACUUGAGUACUGGAGAGGAAAGCGGAAUUCCUGGUGUAGAGGUGAAAUUCGUAGAUAUCAGGAGGAACACCGAUGGCGAAGGCAGCUUUCUGGACAGAAACUGACGCUGAUGCGCGAAGGCGUGGGUAGCGAACAGGAUUAGAUACCCUGGUAGUCCACGCAGUAAACGAUGUACACUAGGUGUAGGAGAUAUUAAAAUUUUCUGUGCCGCAGUUAACGCAUUAAGUGUACCGCCUGGGGAGUACGGUCGCAAGACUAAAACUCAAAGGAAUUGACGG